Long non-coding RNA from Callithrix jacchus (white-tufted-ear marmoset), 2516 nucleotides. RefSeq lists it as uncharacterized. Lineage: Eukaryota; Metazoa; Chordata; Mammalia; Primates; Cebidae. The record is from RefSeq and is a predicted model, not a curated record.
UAGUCACAAAUGCUAAGUGGCACAGAAAAAGAAGCAAUUUGCAUGAGCCAGAGUAUUUAAAAGGCUUCAUGGAAGAUGUGGCACUUAAAAACAGGACUGCAAUGUUUGGAGCUGGAAAACAUCUUGGAGAACAUCUGGUCUGAGGCUCUGAAAUAGUUCAUCUGAGUCUUUUUUUGUUUUGUUUUUUUGGUUUUUUUAGAUGAAAUCUUGCUCUGUCACCCAGGCUGGAGUGCAGUGGUGCAAUCUCAGCUCACUGCAACCUCCACCUCCUGGGUUCAAGAGAUUUUCCUGACUCAGCUUCCUGAGUAGCUCGGACUUCAGGUGCCUGUCACCAUGCCUGGUUAAUUUUUGUAUAUUUAGCAGAGACUGGGUUUCACCAAGUUGGCCAGGCUGGUCUCAAACUCCUGACCUCUUGUCAUCCAACCUCCUUGGCCUCCCAAAGUGCUGGGAUUACAGGCAUGAGCCACUGCACCCAGCCGUUCAUCUGAGUCUUAACAGCUCAUAAAGUUACCUCAAAAGCCUUCCUUGAAGCCAAUCAAGGAGGCUCCCAGGUCUCAACCACAUUUCAACAGCUCCAGUUUUAUAUGUUUACUUUAUGGGGGUCCUGUUUAAGCUCUGUUUGAACAAAGAACCCUACUCCUUCUUUUUACAUUGGAACCACUGAUCCAGUCGAAGCUGCUCAUUUUACUGAUGAGAUCACCGAAGCACUUUGGGAACUUUGCCAAGCUCACACAUGCCUUGAACUGAAAAGAAUGGCUCCCAGGCAGUUAAGAAAAAGACAGUACUCCAUCCUGGAGAUGAUAAUCCCAGCUCAGCAGUGGAUACACAGGCGGAUGUUUAGCAAGCUUUAUAAAAACCAAUCUUAUUAUAAAAUGUUGAUGCUUCCUCACCAACUUGUGUUUCCUCCUUAUUUUAUAAAAUGUGGAAUUUAUUUCAGACUAGAGCUUGAGUCAAGCACCUGAGUUGGAAAGACCAAAAGUCAGUUCAGAGGCUAACUCUUGAAAAGCACUAUGAAAUCUAUAAUUCAGAUCACAUGGAGAACUGAGUUGCUCUUCCUCUCUGCUGGUGAAGAAAAAACAGAAGGUAUCCUCUCAGUGUCCCGAUGUAUUUAGGUGAACGAUGCCCACCUCAAACCCACUUAAGCACAAAGAAAAUUUACAAGCCCAGGCAAUGGGAAAAUUCAGGGCCGGCUCAUGCUCAGCUGAAGAAGGAGGAGCUCAAAUUGUGUCAGGAGGAAUCCAUCUCUCCCUCUCUUGUCUGAGCUUCAUCCUGUUGUCUUCAUCCUCACUCAUGCUUUCUUGGAGAGAAGGCAAAACCCCAACAAUUGCAGAUAGACAAACUUAAAGUUCUCUAGCAAGAGAGCACCUCUGGCCCAGGGGAUCCAGGUAUUGAGUUGCAUCUCAGUGACUCAAAUUGCCUCUCGAGCCCCUCUUUGGAUGUAUUGCUUUGAUCGCAUGCCUAACCCUGACACUGGGAUUUGAGAAUUUACCAGAGGUUACCUCCUGGUAGAACUGAGUCUUCAAAGAUGGAUCCUACGCCAAGGACUAUGAGUGGGGAGGGGUGGCUCCCCAGGAGGAAAAGAUAGGUUCUGUUUCAGGAAGAAGGGACACUGAGCAGGUCAAACCACAGCUGUGUACUCCCUUCACCUACGCAGCUCUGCGACUCUCUGUGCUAGUGGACAAGGCACACCUGAUACCUUUGGAGGGCUUUAGAGUAGCUAAAUAUUAGACACUAUUAGCCAAGCUAGCCUGCCCAUUCAUUUGUGUUCAUUGAACAAAUGUUUAUUUGUAGUAAGCCACAAACUUAAACUGAGCUCUUUCCGGAAGCCUAUUGGGUAAAUCAACUUCCCAGAACCACUGUGUCAGGAAUUGCCAGAGGCUUCUUGCUAGCCACGCCCCUGGGGACAGACCUGGAGUCUUGGCUGACUGUUAGCUACCUUUUUUUUUGUUGUUGCCUCUGGUUCCUAGGUGUUUUCUCUUCUCCUAACUCUGGCUAGGCAUUGUCAGGCCGCCAAGUCCAAACCUGGCCAUUAUAGCCUUGGUGACCCGCACGUACUCCUCCGGAUGGUCCCCAGGAGCCAGAAAGUCUGAACCACAAGUAAGCAGGUGGGCACAGAAAGAAGUGAAACAACUUGUUCCUGCCUCAACUAAUCGCUCUGCCCCUGCAACCUGCAACCAUUGUUCCUGCUCAGCCUUGUGAAGCUUCCCUGCUGGACAUUGGGCUUCUCAGGACCCCACCCCUGUACCUAUGCAAUGUAAUUUACCUCACCCUCCCCUCUGCUAGCAACUGAUAACCGCCACCCUUAUGAUCACGCCUGUUUGUAAUAGGUGACCCCUUACUUGUGACCAUGCAUCCUGUGAUGCCCUUCCUCUCCCUAAAAUAGGUUACCACCUUUAACUGACCACUUGCCCCAACCUAUAAAGCCAACUCCUAUCCCCUUGCCCUCUGCUGACUCCCUUUUCUGACUCAGUCCGCCUGCCACACUGGUGAAUAAACAGCCAUGUUGCUCAGACAAA